AUGUGGAGGCUAUAUACAGGGGGUACCGGUACAGAGUCAAUGUGGAGGCUAUAUACAGGGUGUUACAGUACAGAGUCAAUGUGGAGGCUAUAUACAGGGUGUUACGGUACAGAGUCAAUGUGGAGGCUAUAUACAGGGGGUACCGGUACAGAGUCAAUGUGGAGGCUAUAUACAGGGGUACCGGUACAGAGUCAAUGUGGAGGCUAUAUACAGGGGGUACCGGUACAGAGUCAAUGUGGAGGCUAUAUACAGGGGUACCGGUACAGAGUCAAUGUGGAGGCUAUAUACAGGGGGUACCGGUACAGAGUCAAUGUGGAGGUUGUAUACAGGGGGUACCGGUGCAGAGUCAAUGUGGAGGCUAUAUACAGGGGGUACUGGUACAGAGUCAAUGUGGAGGCUAUAUACAGGGGGUACCGGUACAGAGUCAAUGUGGAGGCUAUAUACAGGGGGUACCGGUACAGAGUCAAUGUGGAGGCUAUAUACAGGGUGUUACAGUACAGAGUCAAUGUGGAGGCUAUAUACAGGGGGUACUGGUACAGAGUCAAUGUGGAGGCUAUAUACAGGGGGUACUGGUACAGAGUCAAUGUGGAGGCUAUAUACAGGGGGUACCGGUACAGAGUCAAUGUGGAGGCUAUAUACAGGGUGUUACAGUACAGAGUCAAUGUGGAGGCUAUAUACAGGGUGUUACGGUACAGAGUCAAUGUGGAGGCUAUAUACAGGGGGUACCGGUACAGAGUCAAUGUGGAGGCUAUAUACAGGGGGUACCGGUACAGAGUCAAUGUGGAGGCUAUAUACAGGGGGUACCGGUACAGAGUCAAUGUGGAGGCUAUAUACAGGGGGUACCGGUACAGAGUCAAUGUGGAGGCUAUAUACAGGGGGUACUGGUACAGAGUCAAUGUGGAGGCUAUAUACAGGGGGUACUGGUACAGAGUCAAUGUGGAGGCUAUAUACAGGGGGUACCGGUACAGAGUCAAUGUGGAGGCUAUAUACAGGGGGUACCGGUACAGAGUCAAUGUGGAGGCUAUAUACAGGGGGUACCGGUACAGAGUCAAUGUGGAGGCUAUAUACAGGGUGUUACAGUACAGAGUCAAUGUGGAGGCUAUAUACAGGGUGUUACGGUACAGAGUCAAUGUGGAGGCUAUAUACAGGGGGUACUGGUACAGAGUCAAUGUGGAGGCUAUAUACAGGGGGUACCGGUACAGAGUCAAUGUGGAGGCUAUAUACAGGGGGUACCGGUACAGAGUCAAUGUGGAGGCUAUAUACAGGGUGUUACAGUACAGAGUCAAUGUGGAGGCUAUAUACAGGGUGUUACGGUACAGAGUCAAUGUGGAGGCUAUAUACAGGGGGUACCGGUACAGAGUCAAUGUGGAGGCUAUAUACAGGGGGUACCGGUACAGAGUCAAUGUGGAGGCUAUAUACAGGGGGUACCGGUACAGAGUCAAUGUGGAGGCUAUAUACAGGGGGUACCGGUACAGAGUCAAUGUGGAGGCUAUAUACAGGGUGUUACAGUACAGAGUCAAUGUGGAGGCUAUAUACAGGGUGUUACGGUACAGAGUCAAUGUGGAGGCUAUAUACAGGGGGUACUGGUACAGAGUCAAUGUGGAGGCUAUAUACAGGGUGUUACGGUACAGAGUCAAUGUGGAGGCUAUAUACAGGGGGUACCGGUACAGAGUCAAUGUGGAGGCUAUAUACAGGGGGUACCGGUACAGAGUCAAUGUGGAGGCUAUAUACAGGGGGUACCGGUACAGAGUCAAUGUGGAGGCUAUAUACAGGGGGUACCGGUACAGAGUCAAUGUGGAGGCUAUAUACAGGGUGUUACAGUACAGAGUCAAUGUGGAGGCUAUAUACAGGGUGUUACGGUACAGAGUCAAUGUGGAGGCUAUAUACAGGGGGUACUGGUACAGAGUCAAUGUGGAGGCUAUAUACAGGGGGUACCGGUACAGAGUCAAUGUGGAGGCUAUAUACAGGGGGUACCGGUACAGAGUCAAUGUGGAGGCUAUAUACAGGGGGUACCGGUACAGAGUCAAUGUGGAGGCUAUAUACAGGGGGUACCGGUACAGAGUCAAUGUGGAGGCUAUAUACAGGGGGUACCGGUACAGAGUCAAUGUGGAGGAUAUAUACAGGGGGUACCGGUACAGAGUCAAUGUGGAGGCUAUAUACAGGGGGUACCGGUACAGAGUCAAUGUGGAGGCUAUAUACAGGGGGUACCGGUACAGAGUCAAUGUGGAGGCUAUAUACAGGGGGUACCGGUACAGAGUCAAUGUGGAGGCUAUAUACAGGGGGUACUGGUACAGUAGAGUGGCUGGAGUCUGA
Oncorhynchus kisutch (coho salmon) is the source of this 2313-nucleotide long non-coding RNA. Lineage: Eukaryota; Metazoa; Chordata; Actinopteri; Salmoniformes; Salmonidae. The record is from Ensembl.